GAUGAAGAACGUAGCGAAAUGCGAUACGUAGUGUGAAUUGCAGAAUCCAGUGAAUCAUCGAAUCUUUGAACGCACAUUGCGCCCGCCGGCAUCCCGGCGGGCAUGCCUGUUCGAGCGUCAUUUCAACCCUCGGGAGCCCCUGGGGAAUCUUCCUCCCAGGGGCGCCCGGCGUUGGGGAUCGGGGGCCGCCUGGCCUUUGCUCAGGCGCCCCGUCCCCCAAAUGCAGUGGCGGCCGCGCCGUCGCCUCCCCGCGUAGUAGCAACACGUCGCGGCGGAGAGGGCGGCGCGUCCACGCCGUGAAACACCCAACUCUUCUGAAGUUGACCUCGAAUCAGGUAGGAAUACCCGCUGAACUUAAGCAUAUCAAUAAGCGGAGGA
Molecule: unclassified non-coding RNA, 378 nt
Filed under: soil metagenome
Description: partial contains 5.8S ribosomal RNA, internal transcribed spacer 2, and large subunit ribosomal RNA
Rfam family: 5.8S ribosomal RNA (bases 1-120)
Source: RNAcentral